Molecule: long non-coding RNA, 702 nt
Organism: Leopardus geoffroyi (Geoffroy's cat)
Lineage: Eukaryota; Metazoa; Chordata; Mammalia; Carnivora; Felidae
Exons: 5
Source: RefSeq, a predicted model, not a curated record
AGGUUGUAUAAAAUAAACUGACAACACAGAAGUUAUUUUGGCCUUGUGUUCCAUAGUGACUCACCAAAUAUACCCUGAAGUGUUUAUUUUAUUUUUUUCUAUUUCACUGUUAAAGCGAGCAGAUGCAUUUCACAUCACAUGGAUCUCGUGGAAACAUGCCAACCAUUUUCUUAGCAACCAAACUCCUGUCUUCUGCACUGUGCAUGAUUAACUACAACAGCCUGUUGACGGCUUAAAAUAAACCUGCCUUUUUCCAUUUAGCAUUUUAUCAAAUGAAUGUAAUUUCAUUUGCUGAUGAAUUUAGUUCAGCUUCAAGGGAAUUUUUCUCUUCUUCAUGGGGAGGCUGAAGAAUCAGAACUGUCAUGCCAAAGAAAGAAAAGCAAGCCUAGGGAGAAAAACAGUCUGAUGUUUACAUGGGCUGCCUGUUCCUGGGAGCAGCAAAGUCCUUCUGUGGGCGACCGCAACCUCCGCGUGGGUCCAUAAUGACAAGGUGACUUCAAAGAUGGCAGAUUAUAGGGGCAGAUCUGCAUGCUGUAUCUGACUGACACUCAACCAGGGAUACCAGAAGGGUUAACUGGCAAUUCUGUGACUCGAGAACAAUUUAAACAGCUAAUCAGAUCCACAAAGCAAGUAUCCAUAACUGAACCAAAAGACUUCCGCACAGCACAUCAGGACACCUGAGGGAGCCAUCCAUUUCUGCGC